Molecule: non-coding RNA, 1536 nt
Organism: Sturnus vulgaris (Common starling)
Lineage: Eukaryota; Metazoa; Chordata; Aves; Passeriformes; Sturnidae
Source: RefSeq, a predicted model, not a curated record
CAUGGGAAUCUCAUCAGUUGUGAUGAUAAAAGUGUUGAAGUAGUUUCUUUCCCUGAGGAAGCUCAAAGAGCCAGCAAGGCCAGCCCCUCCAGCAGAAGUGGUUGAAGUUCUACUGAUGGCUUAAUGGAAUAGCUUAUGUUCUGUAACAUUAUCCUUCUGGUUUGCUUGGCUUGUGAAAAAUAAGUUUCCUUUUACAUACAGGCAGUCUCACACACCUUACUCCUCCUUUUCCCCUCCCUCCUCUCUCCAGCACCAUCCCUCUGGUCUUCUGCAGUCAGGAAAGUGAUAGAGAGUUUUAUUGCAGGUUACAGCAGUGCAGUGCUCUGCAAUGGGUUUAUUCACCUAAACUGUCACAGUGAAUUUUGGACUGCAGGGCAGACUUGCUGGCAGUCUCACUCCAGUCUCCUACUGGCGCUUGCAACACACAUGCAGUCAGGAUCUGGGAAAUACAGCCCCUCUUCUCUCCACCACAUCCUGCAGCCUGCCCCAGACAGAGGCCACAGUGGGCCUUUACAAGCAUUGCAACCGUAGGAGAGGAUAAAGCCAUGAAGAGGAAGAAAUGUCUGAGGAACAGCUGAAUUAGGACAUUUUAGUUGGCUUCAAGGCCUUUGAUUUGAUUAGAUUAGCCACACCUUUGCAGGAAAAUCAACUGUUAAUCAUUUACUGCAGCCCAAAGAGGCAACUUCCAGGCUACCUCUACAAUUCUCCAGGUACAGCAGGGGGUCCCUCACCAUAGGCCAAGAUCUCUUGGAGGGGUGAAGAGAAGGAGGAAACACAGAGGAAACACAGAGGAAACACCUACUACAAACUACAACAGCUUCAGCAGGGUGGAAGCCAGCAUGUCACUAGAGCAAGAGGCAUCCUCAGUUCUUGAAGACCUGAAGACACUGAUUGCAACAAGUGACUGGGCUCUUGGAGGGCUGCUGGUGAUUGUCAUCUUCUGUUUUGUUUUUCUUGUUCUCGUUUUAUUUGCUGCUAUUUUUGGGUGCUGCACAUCUCUAAGGCGCAAACAGGGUAAUUUAUAGACAGCAAAGUGGGGACACAGAACUUGGUACAACUGAGCAAGAACCAGCCUGGUUCUGAUUGUGUUGUUCACAGAGAACUCUCAUCUCACUCCCCACGUGGUUAUUUCUCUCCAUGCAACUCCCCUGCAUCAAGAGCCAUGUCCCAAUGCCAGCAAGUUGUUCUGGCACAGAACAGUUGGCUGUCCACAGCAGACUCAAUAGAUGAGGCUGUCUGGAUUCAAGAACUGCAACAUUUGCCAAAUACCAAAGUAAACUCUUCUCUGAUUUUCAUCUUUCAAGCAAAACCACCAACUCGAAGUGGCAAAUUGUCAGCCACCACCUAAAGCUGAUAAAGAUGAGUUCUGCUGCUGCAGCUACGUGGGUUGGGGGUUUUUUCACCUUACAGAAGAGCAAGAGGAAACUCUGGCCACUGAAAGCUUUGUCUGAACCCACUCUCUAAAAGCAGUUUAGACCAUUGCUCUCCUGUCAUACUCAGGCCUAAAUACACUAUGCAAAAACUUGCUUGCCAGUA